CUGGCGAGGCGGUGGUAGACCAGACCUUGGCCGGAGCUAGGCCGGUGCCCGGAGGAGGAGAGAGGGUUUGAGAGAAAUUUUUGUUUUUUUUUUUGAAGAAGAGAAGUGAAAAUGAAGUUUUUUUAAAUUUUUUUUGUUUAUAUAGCAGGUUAAAUGACGUCGUUUUGGCCUGUAUGCAUAGGUCCCAAAACAGCGCCGUUUUGGCCUAGCCUGAUCCAGCCGACCCGACCCGCUAGUGGGAUCCGCGUGUUUUUGAGGAAGGGUCUAUUUGCGCAUUUAGCCCUUCCUCUUUUUAAUUAUUUUGCAAUCAAGUUUCCUUUAAGUUUUUU
This 329-nucleotide long non-coding RNA is filed under the name Gossypium raimondii (Peruvian cotton). RNAcentral describes it as "long non-coding RNA (GRAI_LNC004780)". The record is from RNAcentral. Lineage: Eukaryota; Viridiplantae; Streptophyta; Magnoliopsida; Malvales; Malvaceae.